Long non-coding RNA from Salvelinus fontinalis (brook trout), 7540 nucleotides. RefSeq lists it as uncharacterized. NCBI's taxonomy places the organism in Eukaryota, Metazoa, Chordata, Actinopteri, Salmoniformes, Salmonidae. The transcript has 5 exons. The record is from RefSeq and is a predicted model, not a curated record.
CUCCCAAGAGAGGACCAGCAUCCGUCUCUGGGCUCGUAGCUGAUGAAGUCAACCUGAUUCUGACGAGGCACGAAGCGAAUGCAGGUCUUGGAAGGGAAGGCCCGGAGGGCAUUCUCAAUGAUCUGCUUGUUAGAGGAACUGAAGCUACUGCUCACUGUGUAGGGCACUUCAACCAAUCCGUCGGUGCCUUUUGUCCAGAAGCACCCUGCACUGUAAAAUAACAUUCAGCUGGUUAGUCAAUUAUAUCUGAAAAUACAAUUAUUUUGACAUAAAAAAUAUAUUUGUUAUCUUUACUUCAAUAUAAUUAGUCCUUUACUCAUCUUCACUUGUUUAACCAACCUGAAAUUAAAAUAUGUACAUAUAUCAACAUAAGAUGCAUGUAAAAACAACUCCAAAGGGAACUGUGUUUAAUUUCCCCUCAAUUUACUAAUUUUAAGUUCUAGCAACAACUUGACACCUGUCUCUGUAUUUAGAGGAUUGUGGGUAAUUCCACAUUCUUUGACUUUAUACUACUUCUACACAAUGUUGUAUACAUAUGUUGAAGGCAGAAAAUUAUAUUUCUGUAUUUAGGUAACUUUCUGAAACAUUAAAAGUGAAGUAUAUUGUACAUAAAAAUACCUAAUCUUGGAAAUACUCAAAAAAGCUGAUGCAAAUAGUUGUAAAACUAGAACUGGUACAAUAUUGUUGUUAGUGUGUGUUGGUUGUACCUAAAGCAAACCAUGGCGUUUCUGGUUGUUGGCGCCACCAUGUCUCCCUCCAACAGAAACUGACUGGAGCCGUUAUUGGUGGUCAGAAUUCUCUCAGUGAUGUCUACAUCCUCAGGGUUGUCUGUUAGGAUCUCUGGUCCACUUCCGUCCUCCAUGAGAGGGUUGGCCUGAGAGAGGCCCAGCAGCAGCAGCAGCAGCAGGGUCAGAGAGGGGCUUUGCUCCAUCUUCAGUGUGUGGAGAGGAGAGACUCUGGAUGGCUCCUUGGAUCUGACAGUGGAGAGACUCUGGAUGGCUCCUUGGAUCUGACAGUGGAGAGACUCUGGAUGGCUCCUUGGAUCUGACAGUGGAGAGACUCUGGAUGGCUUCUUGUUCCUGGAGAUGCUUUGGAGCGGCUUGAUGUGUGAUUCUGUCUGGUCAGUCCUGGGCUUUUUAUACAGUCCUCUACAGGUGUGUCUGCUAGAGGAUUAUGGGUUGGGGUCCAUGUUGUUAGUCCUAAAUAAACCUCUGAAGGGAGGGUUCCACCACCACACCUACAGUUUCAACAUGGUUUUAAUCCAUACAGGUCCAUUUACACCUGGCCAUGCCUACUCAACAAACACGUCACACACUAAUGUAAUGACAGUUUAAUCUACUACAAUGAUGUGGUGAGGAACGUUUCAAUUUUUUAAUGUUUAUUUGUCACCUGCACAGGACACAGCAGGUGUAAAACAGUACAUUGAAAUAUUUGCAGCUCUUUAGUAAUAUAGAUUUUAAAAACACAGUAAUAAUCUAGAUAAUAAAACAGUAAUUUUAUUUAAAAAAAAAAAAAAUUCAACUGUUGUGCCUGCGGCUAUGGAACCCUGUCCUGUUCACCGGACGUGCUACCUGUCCCAGACCUGCUGUUUUCAACUCUCUAGAGACAGCAGGUGCGGUAGAGAUACUCUUAAUGAUCGGCUAUGAAAAGCCAACUGACAUUUACUCCUGAGGUGCUGACCUGUUGCACCCUCGACAACUACUGUGAUUAUUAUUUGACCCUGCUGGUCAUUUAUGAACAUUUUGAACAUCUUGGCCAUGUUCUGUUAUAAUCUCCACCCGGCACAGCCAGAAGAGGACUGGCCACCCCUCAUAGCCUGGUCCUCUCUAGGUUUCUUCCUAGGUUCUGGGACUUUCUAGGGAGUUUUUCCUUAGCCACCGUACUUUUACACCUGCAUUGCUUGCUGUUUGGGGUUUUAGGCUGGGUUUUUGUACAGCACUUUGAGAUAUUAGCUGAUGUACGAAGGGCUAUAGUAUAUAAAUACAUUUGAUUUGAUAAUAAUCUAGAUUAUAAACAUUGUAAUGAUAUAGAUAAUAAACACAGUAAUAAUCUAGAUAAUAAACAUUGUAAUGAUAUAGAUAAUAAAACACAGUAAUAAUCUAGAUAAUAAACAUUGUAAUGAUAUAGAUAAUAAACACAGUAAUAAUCUAGAUAAUAAACAUUGUAAUGAUAUAGAUAAUAAACACAGUAAUAAUCUAGAUAAUAAACAUUGUAAUGAUAUAGAUAAUAAAUACAGUAAUAAUCUAGAUAAUAUAACACAUUAAUAAUCUAGAUUAUAAUAUAACACAGUAAUAAUCUAGAUAAUAAACACAGUCAUAAUCUAGAUAAUAAACACAGUAAUGAUAUAGAUAAUAAACAUUGUAAUGAUAUAGAUAAUAAACAUUGUAAUGAUAUAGAUGUCACGUUCGUUGUAAUGAUUGGACCAAGGCGCAGCGUGCGUAGAGUUCCACAUCUUUUAAUUCAUAGACACUCAGCAGAACAAACAAGCACAAAGGAAACGUGAAGCUACUGGUGAAGCUACACAGGCAACUAUCCGUAGACAAGAUCCCACCAAACACAAAAUUAGGAAAUGGCUACCUAAAUAUCAUCCCCAAAAUCAGAGACAACAAUAAACAGCUGUCUCUGAUUGGGAACCAUAUCAGGCCAACAACACCCCUAGAUAACCCACCCUAGUCACUAUCACGCCCCAAACGACAGAGAAUAAACAGCUUACUAUGGUCAGGUCGUGACAAUAGAUAAUAAAAACACUGUAAUUAAAUAGAUAAUAAACUGUAAUAAUAUAGAUAAUAAACACUGUAAUAAUAUAGAUAAUAUAGAAUAAAAACAGGUUACGGUGUAAUGGCAGGUCUGUAGUUAGGGUGUAACGGCAGGUCUGUAGUUAGGGUGUAAUGGCAGGUCUGUAGUUAGGGUGUAAUGGCAGGUCUGUAGUUAGGGUGUAAUGGCAGGUCUGUAGUUAGGGUGUAACGGCAGGUCUGUACAGGUUAGGGUGUAACGGCAGGUCUGUAGUUAGGGUGUAAUGGCAGGUCUGUAGUUAGGGUGUAAUGGCAGGUCUGUAGUUAGGGUGUAAUGGCAGGUCUGUAGUUAGGGUGUAACGGCAGGUCUGUAGUUAGGGUGUAAUGGCAGGUCUGUAGUUAGGGUGUAAUGGCAGGUCUGUACAGGUUAGGGUGUAAUGGCAGGUCUGUACAGGUUAGGGUGUAAUGGCAGGUCUGUAGUUAGGGUGUAAUGGCAGGUCUGUAGUUAGGGUGUAAUGGCAGGUCUGUAGUUAGGGUGUAAUGGCAGGUCUGUAGUUAGGGUGUAAUGGCAGGUCUGUAGUUAGGGUGUAACGGCAGGUCUGUAGUUAGGGUGUAAUGGCAGGUCUGUAGUUAGGGUGUAAUGGCAGGUCUGUACAGGUUAGGGUGUAAUGGCAGGUCUGUAGUUAGGGUGUAAUGGCAGGUCUGUAGUUAGGGUGUAACGGCAGGUCUGUAGUUAGGGUGUAAUGGCAGGUCUGUACAGGUUAGGGUGUAAUGGCAGGUCUGUAGUUAGGGUGUAAUGGCAGGUCUGUAGUUAGGGUGUAAUGGCAGGUCUGUAGUUAGGGUGUAAUGGCAGGUCUGUAGUUAGGGUGUAAUGGCAGGUCUGUAGUUAGGGUGUAAUGGCAGGUCUGUAGUUAGGGUGUAAUGGCAGGUCUGUACAGGUUAGGGUGUAAUGGCAGGUCUGUAGUUAGGGUGUAAUGGCAGGUCUGUAGUUAGGGUGUAAUGGCAGGUCUGUAGUUAGGGUGUAAUGGCAGGUCUGUAGUUAGGGUGUAAUGGCAGGUCUGUAGUUAGGGUGUAAUGGCAGGUCUGUACAGGUUAGGGUGUAAUGGCAGGUCUGUAGUUAGGGUGUAAUGGCAGGUCUGUAGUUAGGGUGUAAUGGCAGGUCUGUAGUUAGGGUGUAAUGGCAGGUCUGUAGUUAGGGUGUAAUGGCAGGUCUGUAGUUAGGGUGUAACGGCAGGUCUGUAGUUAGGGUGUAACGGCAGGUCUGUAGUUAGGGUGUAAUGGCAGGUCUGUACAGGUUAGGGUGUAAUGGCAGGUCUGUACAGGUUAGGGUGUAAUUGCAGGUCUGUAGUUAGGGUGUAAUGGCAGGUCUGUAGUUAGGGUGCAAUGGCAGGUCUGUAGUUAGGGUGUAAUGGCAGGUCUGUACAGGUUAGGGUGUAAUGGCAGGUCUGUACAGGUUAGGGUGUAAUGGCAGGUCUGUAGUUAGGGUGUAAUGGCAGGUCUGUAGUUAGGGUGUAAUGGCAGGUCUGUAGUUAGGGUGUAAUGGCAGGUCUGUAGUUAGGGUGUAACGGCAGGUCUGUAGUUAGGGUGUAAUGGCAGGUCUGUAGUUAGGGUGUAAUGGCAGGUCUGUAGUUAGGGUGUAAUGGCAGGUCUGUAGUUAGGGUGUAAUGGCAGGUCUGUACAGGUUAGGGUGUAAUGGCAGGUCUGUAGUUAGGGUGUAAUGGCAGGUCUGUAGUAACGGUGUAACGGCAGGUCUGUAGUUAGGGUGUAAUGACAUGUCUGUAGUUAGGGUGUAAUGGCAGGUCUGUAGUUAGGGUGUAAUGGCAGGUCUGUAGUUAGGGUGUAAUGGCAGGUCUGUACAGGUUAGGGUGUAAUGGCAGGUCUGUACAGGUUAGGGUGUAAUGGCAGGUCUGUAGUUAGGGUGUAAUGGCAGGUCUGUAGUUAGGGUGUAAUGGCAGGUCUGUAGUUGGGGUGUAAUGGCAGGUCUGUAGUUAGGGUGUAACGGCAGGUCUGUAGUUAGGGUGUAACGGCAGGUCUGUAGUUAGGGUGUAACGGCAGGUCUGUACAGGUUAGGGUGUAAUGGCAGGUCUGUAGUUAGGGUGUAAUGGCAGGUCUGUAGUUAGGGUGUAAUGGCAGGUCUGUAGUUAGGGUGUAAUGGCAGGUCUGUAGUUAGGGUGUAAUGGCAGGUCUGUAGUUAGGGUGUAAUGGCAGGUCUGUACAGGUUAGGGUGUAAUGGCAGGUCUGUAGUUAGGGUGUAAUGGCAGGUCUGUAGUUAGGGUGUAAUGGCAGGUCUGUAGUUAGGGUCUAAUGGCAGGUCUGUAGUUAGGGUGUAAUGGCAGGUCUGUAGUUAGGGUGUAAUGGCAGGUCUGUAGUUAGGAUGUAAUGGCAGGUCUGUAUUUAGGGUGUAAUGGCAGGUCUGUAGUUGGGGUGUAAUGGCAGGUCUGUAGUUAGGGUGUAAUGGCAGGUCUGUAGUUAGGGUGUAAUGGCAGGUCUGUAGUUAGGGUGUAAUGGCAGGUCUGUAGUUAGGGUGUAACGGCAGGUCUGUAGUUAGGGUGUAACGGCAGGUCUGUAGUUAGGGUGUAAUGGCAGGUCUGUAGUUAGGGUGUAAUGGCAGGUCUGUAGUUAGGGUGUAACGGCAGGUCUGUAGUUAGGGUGUAACGGCAGGUCUGUAGUUAGGGUGUAACGGCAGGUCUGUAGUUAGGGUGUAACGGCAGGUCUGUAGUUAGGGUGUAACGGCAGGUCUGUAGUUAGGGUGUAAUGGCAGGUCUGUACAGGUUAGGGUGUAAUGGCAGGUCUGUAGUUAGGGUGUAAUGGCAGGUCUGUAGUUAGGGUGUAAUGGCAGGUCUGUAGUUAGGGUGUAAUGGCAGGUCUGUAGUUAGGGUGUAAUGGCAGGUCUGUAGUUAGGGUGUAAUGGCAGGUCUGUAGUUAGGGCGUAAUGGCAGGUCUGUAGUUAGGGUGUAAUGGCAGCUCUGUACAGGUUAGGGUGUAACGGCAGGUCUGUAGUUAGGAUGUAAUGGCAGCUCUGUACAGGUUAGGGUGUAAUGGCAGGUCUGUAGUUAGGGUGUAAUGGCAGCUCUGUACAGGUUAGGGUGUAAUGGCAGGUCUGUAGUUAGGAUGUAAUGGCAGCUCUGUACAGGUUAGGGUGUAACGGCAGGUCUGUAGUUAGGGUGUAGUGGCAGUUCUGUAGUUAGGGUGUAAUGGCAGGUCUGUAGUUAGGGUGUAAUGGCAGGUCUGUAGUUAGGGUGUAAUGGCAGGUCUGUAGUUAGGGUGUAAUGGCAGCUCUGUACAGGUUAGGGUGUAAUGGCAGCUCUGUACAGGUUAGGGUGUAAUGGCAGGUCUGUAGUUAGGAUGUAAUGGCAGCUCUGUACAGGUUAGGGUGUAAUGGCAGGUCUGUAGUUAGGGUGUAAUGGCAGGUCUGUAGUUAGGGUGUAAUGGCAGGUCUGUACAGGUUAGGGUGUAAUGGCAGGUCUGUAGUUAGGGUGUAACGGCAGGUCUGUAGUUAGGGUGUAAUGGCAGGUCUGUACAGGUUAGGGUGUAAUGGCAGGUCUGUAGUUAGGGUGUAAUGGCAGGUCUGUAGUUAGGGUGUAAUGGCAGGUCUGUAGUUAGGGUGUAAUGGCAGGUCUGUAAAUCCUCAGUGAUGUGGACACAGAGGAACAGGAAGCUCUUGACCCCGUCCACUGGGAGAUGUGUACCUGCCCCUGUUUCCUGUCGUCCACCAUCAGCUCCUUGUUGAGGGAGAGAGGUUGUUGUCCUGGCAACACACUGCCAGGGUUCUGACCUGCUUCCUAUAGGCUGUCUGGUCACCGUCAGUGAUCAGGCCUCACCAUCGUCGUAUCAUCAGCGAACGUGAUGGUGGAGUCAUGCCCGGCCACUCAGUUUUGGGUCAACAGGUAGUACAGGACUGAGCAUACAGGCCACUGGGCAAAUAUUGUCAGGUUGCCAUUUGCUGUUUGGCAAAUACUUUAAGACAGGUAGACUCAUAAGUAAACAAGUUGUUCAGACAAACUCAACAUUUUAAUAUGUGUCUGUAAAUAUUAAUCAAAUGUAUUGGAAGAAUUAUGUUUGUUAUAGGUUGUGGUAGUUGUGCCUGUAUAGUCUAGGCCAGCUUUAGUGGAAAAUGUUAGAUGUCUCUCUCUCUCUCUCUCUCUCUCUCUCUCUCUGUCUGUCUGUCUGUCUGUCUGUCUGUCUGUCUGUCUGUCUGUCUGUCUGUCUGUCUGUCUGUCUGUCUGUCUCUCUCUCUCUCUCUCUCUCUCUCUCUCUCUCUCUCUCUCUCUCUGUCUGUCUGUCUGUCUGUCUGUCUGUCUGUCUGUCUGUCUGUCUGUCUGUCUGUCUGUCUCUCUCUCUCUUUCUCUCUAAAUACUUCCAUCCAUUUCUCCGCCUGCCUCCUGGGGGAGUAGAGGUGUGAGAAUAAACAAUGAAGGUGACAGAGGUGUCUCUGCUGUCACGACAACAUAGGAUUAUGAUUUAUUAAUCUACACUACUCUGUCUACUCUGCUCAAAUUCCACACACACACACACACACACACACACACACACACACACACACACACACACACACACACACACACACACACACACACACACACACACACACACACACACACACACACACACACACACACACACACACACACACACACACACAUCAGCGUAGGGUUAAGCUACGCUGGUCUUUCUUCCCCAGGGAGACAUGGUCAUGUAACAUAACAAUGGAGAGAUGUUGUGUUCAGCCUGAAACAGUCCUAACUGGAGAAAAUGGCACUAUGUCAUAUUUAGACAUGCAGCUGAUGGGGAGAGGAGAGGAGGAGAGA